RNAcentral lists this ribosomal RNA (253 nucleotides) under uncultured bacterium. Its description in RNAcentral is "partial 16S ribosomal RNA". It matches the Rfam family "Bacterial small subunit ribosomal RNA", at positions 524 to 776 of the family's 1533-position model. The record is from RNAcentral.
UACGUAGGGUGCGAGCGUUAAUCGGAAUUACUGGGCGUAAAGCGUGCGCAGGCGGUUCUGAAAGUCAGCUGUGAAAGCCCCGGGCUUAACCUGGGAACGGCGGUUGAAACUACAGGACUAGAAUCUGGCAGAGGGGGGUGGAAUUCCACGUGUAGCAGUGAAAUGCGUAGAGAUGUGGAGGAACACCGAUGGCGAAGGCAGCCCCCUGGGCCGAGAUUGACGCUCAGGCACGAAAGCGUGGGGAGCAAACAGG